AGUGAACGCUGGCGGUAGGCCUAACACAUGCAAGUCGAACGGCAGCACAGUAAGAGCUUGCUCUUACGGGUGGCGAGUGGCGGACGGGUGAGGAAUACAUCGGAAUCUACUUUUUCGUGGGGGAUAACGUAGGGAAACUUACGCUAAUACCGCAUACGACCUACGGGUGAAAGCAGGGGAUCUUCGGACCUUGCGCGAUUGAAUGAGCCGAUGUCGGAUUAGCUAGUUGGCGGGGUAAAGGCCCACCAAGGCGACGAUCCGUAGCUGGUCUGAGAGGAUGAGCAGCCACACUGGAACUGAGACACGGACCAGACUCCUACGGGAGGCAGCAGUGGGGAAUAUUGGACAAUGGGCGCAAGCCUGAUACAGCCAUACCGAGUGGGUGAAGAAGGCCUUCGGGUUGUAAAGCCCUUUUGUUGGGAAAGAAAAGCAGCAGGUUAAUACCCCGCUGUUCUGACGGUACCCAAAGAAUAAGCACCGGCUAACUUCGUG
RNAcentral lists this ribosomal RNA (492 nucleotides) under uncultured bacterium. RNAcentral's name for it is "partial 16S ribosomal RNA". It matches the Rfam family "Bacterial small subunit ribosomal RNA", at positions 29 to 507 of the family's 1533-position model. The record is from RNAcentral.